CCUACGGGAGUCCGCAGUGGGGAAGAGCGCACAAGGGGGGAAACCCUGAUGCAGCGACGAAGAGGGAGUGAAGAAGUAAUUCGUUAUGUAAAGCUCUAUCAGCAGGGAAGAAAAUGACGGUACCUGAGUCAGAAGCCCCGGCUAACUACGUGCCAGCAGCCGCGGUAAGCCGUAGGUGGCAAGCGUUAUCCGGAUUUACUGGGAGUACAGGGAGCGUAGACGGCAGUGCAAGUCUGGAGUGAAAGGCGGGGGCUAAACACCCGGACUGCUCUGGAAACUGUACGGCUGGAGUGCAGGAGAGGUAAGUGGAAUUCCUAGUGGAUCGGUGAAAUGCGUAGAUAUUAGGCGGAACACCAGUGGCGAAGGCGGCUUACUGGACUGUAACUGACGUUGAGGCUCGAAAGCGUGGGGAGCAAACAGGAUUAGAUACCCCAGUAGUC
Molecule: ribosomal RNA, 440 nt
Filed under: uncultured bacterium
Lineage: Bacteria
Description: partial 16S ribosomal RNA
Rfam family: Bacterial small subunit ribosomal RNA
Source: RNAcentral